CCGUCAGAGAGCUCGACAACAAAUGAAUUUUUCACCAACCUUCUCUGGGCACGGUCGUGACUCUUAAAAAACAAGUCAAAAUACCAUUGUGUAACACAUAAGGGUUUCUAAGAAAUAACUUCUGCGUGGCGACUGCACGUGAUACUCACUGGAAACAUAGACUUUGUUUGAAUAAUGUUAAACUCAUCGAGGAAGUGUCGUGUCAUCGCCAGAGCCUCGGAGAGAGGGGCGUGAUCGGCGUGAGUGGACGGAGUAUGCUUGAGGAGAUCCUGAAAUUUCAGUGAUUCAGGGGUCGGUGACUCCAAACUACCUUCGCUCAAACUAAGCGGCUCCGCGUCGCUACUUCCCGUUUCAUUGUCAGUGCUCAAGGCUCGGAGCAGCAUCGGUGGUGCCGGACCGGCGCCCUCUUCAUCCUCGCUGUCCAUAGCAGCUCUGUGCCUGCGCACACAUUCGCUUAUCAUGAUCAAAGCACAAGCCAUGGGAUUCAGGCAAGGAUGGAGGCCUGCGAAGGGGCACCCGAUUACUAUUAGCAAUAGGUGGGACUCGUGCAUCAAUGUAAACGUACUCUCCGGUCUGGUCUAAAGCUACCGAGUCGUAAUAAGGCUCCUCCUCCGAUGCUUCCGCAUCCCCAUCUUCAGCUUCUUCGCUUAUUCUGUUUUUUGAGUCUGCGGGCCAUAACGCUUUGAUAAUAUCAUAGUUAAGAGUCUGGGAAUCGAGCGAAAUAAUUGAAAUUGGAUUGACCGGUAACAAUAGGAAAGAACAACUUGGUGACCUCACCUUUUUCAUUCUUGUUUUCGGUGAGCGCUUGGCUAUUGUCCUUUUUAGUACUACCGGUCACUUCGAUAACGGUCACAUAG
This 857-nucleotide unclassified non-coding RNA is filed under the name Athalia rosae (coleseed sawfly). Its description in RNAcentral is "misc RNA ENSAEAG00005013039.1". The record is from RNAcentral. Lineage: Eukaryota; Metazoa; Arthropoda; Insecta; Hymenoptera; Athaliidae.